CUUUGUGUUUUAUACAUUUAAAACAGAUAUAUAUUUGGCUUAUGGAUUUAUUUUUCAUGUGUUACUAUUGUUAAUUUUCUUUGGAUUAAUUUUUAAUUUUUUCGUUGAAAUUGGAAAAGAAAGUAAUUUUUUCUUAAUGUAAUAAUGAAUUUAAUAAAUAAAGU
This 164-nucleotide ribosomal RNA is filed under the name Dirofilaria immitis (dog heartworm nematode). Its description in RNAcentral is "partial small subunit ribosomal RNA". Lineage: Eukaryota; Metazoa; Nematoda; Chromadorea; Rhabditida; Onchocercidae. The record is from RNAcentral.